GAUGAACGCUGGCGGCGUGCCUAAUACAUGCAAGUCGAGCGGACGGACAAUUAGCUUGCGCCUCUGACGUUAGCGGCGGACGGACGAGUAACACGUGGAUCACAUCCCUAUAAGACUUGGAUAACUUCGGGAGCCCGGAUCUAAUACCACACCAUACAUUCAACGGCAUAGUUCAAUAGUGAAAGACGGCUUUGCUGUCUCAUUUAGACGCAUCCGCGCCGCAUUAGCUAUUUGGUAAGGUAACGGCAAACCAAGGCAACGAGGCGUAGCCGAACUGAGAGGGUGAGCGGCCACACUGGAACUGAGACACGGUCCAGACUCCUACGGGAGGCAGCAGUAGGGAAUCUUCCGCAAUGGGCGGAAGCCUGACGUAGCGAGGCCGCGUGAGUGACGAAGGCCUUCGGAUCGUAAAGCUCUUUUAUUAGGGAAGAACAAAUGUAUGAGUAACUAGGCACGUCCUGACGGUACCUAAUCAGAAAGCCACGGCUAACUUCGUG
RNAcentral lists this ribosomal RNA (497 nucleotides) under uncultured bacterium. RNAcentral describes it as "partial 16S ribosomal RNA". It matches the Rfam family "Bacterial small subunit ribosomal RNA", at positions 28 to 507 of the family's 1533-position model. The record is from RNAcentral.